RNAcentral lists this transfer RNA (69 nucleotides) under Chydorus sphaericus. RNAcentral describes it as "tRNA-Lys". The record is from RNAcentral. Lineage: Eukaryota; Metazoa; Arthropoda; Branchiopoda; Diplostraca; Chydoridae.
CAUUAGAAAGCUUAAAGUAAGCUAAAGCCUCUUAAGCUUCACAAUGUCAAGUAACGUCUGACUCUAAUG